AGUGAACGCUGGCGGUAGGCCUAACACAUGCAAGUCGAACGGCAGCACAGUAAGAGCUUGCUCUUACGGGUGGCGAGUGGCGGACGGGUGAGGAAUACAUCGGAAUCUACUUUUUCGUGAGGGAUAACGUAGGGAAACUUACGCUAAUACCGCAUACGACCUACGGGUGAAAGCAGGGGAUCUUCGGACCUUGCGCGAUUGAAUGAGCCGAUGUCGGAUUAGCUAGUUGGCGGGGUAAAGGCCCACCAAGGCGACGAUCCGUAGCUGGUCUGAGAGGAUGAUCAGCCACACUGGAACUGAGACACGGUCCAGACUCCUACGGGAGGCAGCAGUGGGGAAUAUUGGACAAUGGGCGCAAGCCUGAUCCAGCCAUACCGCGUGGGUGAAGAAGGCCUUCGGGUUGCAAAGCCCUUUUGUUGGGAAAGAAAAGCAGCAGGUUAAUACCCCGCUGUUCUGACGGUACCCAAAGAAUAAGCACCGGCUAACUUCGUG
This 492-nucleotide ribosomal RNA is filed under the name uncultured bacterium. RNAcentral describes it as "partial 16S ribosomal RNA". It matches the Rfam family "Bacterial small subunit ribosomal RNA", at positions 29 to 507 of the family's 1533-position model. The record is from RNAcentral.